UGGGCCAGGUAUGGAAUUGUUUCAGUC
RNAcentral lists this non-coding RNA (27 nucleotides) under Rattus norvegicus (Norway rat). Lineage: Eukaryota; Metazoa; Chordata; Mammalia; Rodentia; Muridae. The record is from RNAcentral.